AUGCAAUGAACUUAAAAUUCAUUUAUAAAGAAUAAUCUUUUUUUAGAAA
This 49-nucleotide transfer RNA is filed under the name Melanaphis sacchari. RNAcentral describes it as "partial tRNA-Leu". Lineage: Eukaryota; Metazoa; Arthropoda; Insecta; Hemiptera; Aphididae. The record is from RNAcentral.